This 440-nucleotide ribosomal RNA is filed under the name uncultured bacterium. Its description in RNAcentral is "partial 16S ribosomal RNA". It matches the Rfam family "Bacterial small subunit ribosomal RNA", at positions 338 to 795 of the family's 1533-position model. The record is from RNAcentral.
CCUACGGGAGGCAGCAGUGGGGAAUAUUGCACAAUGGGGGGAACCCUGAUGCAGCAACGCCGCGUGGGUGCAGAAGUACUUCGGUAUGUAAAGCCCUGUCAGCAGGGAAGAAAAUGACGGUACCUGACCAAGAAGCCGCGGCUAACUACGUGCCAGCAGCCGCGGUAAUACGUAGGGGGCAAGCGGUAUCCGGAUUUACUGGGUGAAAAGGGAGCGGAGACGGCAAGGCAAGUCUGGAGAGAAAGCCCGUGGCUCAACCACGGGACUGCUUUGGAAAAUGUGUUGCUGGAGUGCAGGAGGGGUAAGCGGAAUUCCUAGUGUAGCGGUGCAAUGCGUAGAUAUUAGGAGGAACACCGGUGUCGAAGGCGGCUUACUGGACUGUAACUGACGUUGAGGCUCGAAGGCGUGGGGAGCAAACAGGAUUAGAUACCCCAGUAGUC